UUCAGCGAUCCAAGUCUACAUAUUGUGUUUAUUGCACGAUCAUGCCAAAUCAUUUGAAAUGUCUCGGAUUUCGUUCAUUUGUCCCGAGAUUAUGUCAAGCACUAGAAUCAAGGCCGACCCUGGAGCGCCAACAAUGUAUUUGAAAAACAUUUUCCAAGCUGAAAUUGAAAAGGAGAAGAUGGGUAAUCCUAACCUAACUAAUUGGUUUUUAAUCCCAUAUAAUCAAGAAAAUCAUUGGAAUUUAUACGUGAUGGACCUACGUAGAGGUUAUGUAUAUAUUUUCGAUUCUGCUAGAGAUCCACGUCGAACAGAUUAUGCAUGGGGAAUCUUGAGUUUG
This is a long non-coding RNA of Spinacia oleracea (spinach), 337 nucleotides long. RefSeq lists it as uncharacterized. The transcript is spliced from 3 exons. Lineage: Eukaryota; Viridiplantae; Streptophyta; Magnoliopsida; Caryophyllales; Amaranthaceae. The record is from RefSeq and is a predicted model, not a curated record.